Molecule: ribosomal RNA, 410 nt
Filed under: Acidobacteriota bacterium
Lineage: Bacteria; Pseudomonadati; Acidobacteriota
Description: Acidobacteria bacterium partial 16S ribosomal RNA
Rfam family: Bacterial small subunit ribosomal RNA
Source: RNAcentral
UCGAGAAUCAUUCACAAUGGGGGAAACCCUGAUGGUGCGACGCCGCGUGGGGGAAUGAAGGUCUUCGGAUUGUAAACCCCUGUCAUGUGGGAGCAAAUUAAAAAGAUAGUACCACAAGAGGAAGAGACGGCUAACUCUGUGCCAGCAGCCGCGGUAAUACAGAGGUCUCAAGCGUUGUUCGGAAUCACUGGGCGUAAAGCGUGCGUAGGCGGUUUCGUAAGUCGUGUGUGAAAGGCGGGGGCUCAACCCCCGGACUGCACAUGAUACUGCGAGACUAGAGUAAUGGAGGGGGAACCGGAAUUCUCGGUGUAGCAGUGAAAUGCGUAGAUAUCGAGAGGAACACUCGUGGCGAAGGCGGGUUCCUGGACGUUAACUGACGCUGAGGCACGAAGGCCAGGGGAGCGAAAGGG